GAUCCUGGCCUCAGGACGAACGCUGGCGGCGCGCCUAACACAUGCAAGUCGAACGAGAGAUGAAGAGCUUGCUCUUCAAAUCGAGUGGCGAACGGGUGAGCAACGCGUGAGGAACCUGCCUCAAAGAGGGGGACAACAGUUGGAAACGACUGCUAAUACCGCAUAAGCCCGCGGCUCGGCAUCGAGCAGGGGGAAAAGGAGCAAUCCGCUUUGAGAUGGCCUCGCGUCCGAUUAG
RNAcentral lists this ribosomal RNA (235 nucleotides) under uncultured bacterium. RNAcentral describes it as "partial 16S ribosomal RNA". It matches the Rfam family "Bacterial small subunit ribosomal RNA", at positions 15 to 244 of the family's 1533-position model. The record is from RNAcentral.